UGGGGAAUUUUGGACAAUGGGCGAAAGCCUGAUCCAGCAAUGCCGCGUGUGUGAAGAAGGCCUUCGGGUUGUAAAGCACUUUUGUCCGGAAAGAAAUCCUUGGCUCUAAUACAGUCGGGGGAUGACGGUACCGGAAGAAUAAGCACCGGCUAACUACGUGCCAGCAGCCGCGGUAAUACGUAGGGUGCAAGCGUUAAUCGGAAUUACUGGGCGUAAAGCGUGCGCAGGCGGUUUGCUAAGACCGAUGUGAAAUCCCCGGGCUCAACCUGGGAACUGCAUGGUGACUGGCAGGCUAGAGUAUGGCAGAGGGGGGUAGAAUUCCACGUGUAGCAGUGAAAUGCGUAGAGAUGUGGAGGAAUACCGAUGGCGAAGGCAGCCCCCUGGGCCAAUACUGACGCUCAUGCACGAAAGCGUGGGGAGCAAACAGGAUUAGAUACCCUGGUAGUCCACGCCCUAAACGAUGUCAACUAGUUGUUGGGGAUUCAUUUCCUUAGUAACGUAGCUAACGCGUGAAGUUGACCGCCUGGGGAGUACGGUCGCAAGAUUAAAACUUAAAGGAAUUGACGGGGUCAUAGCUGUUUCCU
RNAcentral lists this ribosomal RNA (584 nucleotides) under uncultured bacterium. RNAcentral describes it as "partial 16S ribosomal RNA". It matches the Rfam family "Bacterial small subunit ribosomal RNA", at positions 355 to 1375 of the family's 1533-position model. The record is from RNAcentral.